GAUUAAUUACUUUUUAUUCAUUGCACUUGCGGCAUUAAUCUGAGAUAGAAUUAGCUUGACCCAAAUGAAUAUAGUUGAUGUAUUUAUUAUGUACAUGCAAGUACACAAGUCUUAGUACUCCUUCCUUUAUGGUUGUAUAUAUGAUUGGUAUUAUUGCAUUUUGCUUGUAGGCGAGUUUCACCAGAGACAGAUAUCAUAGGUCCUCAAAUUCAACUGGCAAUUGUGGUUAGCGCCACCAGAAUUACUGGUUAUGUCUUCAAAGAGGUGUCUAUUUUCCAGCUCCUAGCAAAUUAGAGGAUAAGUUUUUUAGGCAUAGCUGCUCCAAUCAGAGGGCAAGAAGAGUUUGAUGUGACAAAGGGAUGCGCAUAGUUUUUGUGCAAAACGCAUAUAAUCAAAUGGGUGAUGAUCGUGAAUCUGUGUUCAUGCGAAUGCAAAGUUUUGAUGUGAUUACCAUUCUUUGAAGCAAUUCCAUUGGCUGGUCCAUUGUAUUGUACCGAAGGAUCAAGUCAAGCUACGAAACAUGAUGGGAUGGGACGUGUAUAGUAAGGCAUUUCAGUCUUUACUCAUCUCGUACAUUUUCUAUGAGAAUGCAUUCCAAAUUUACAAUUGAUUAAAUGUUCUGAUAGUCUGACGUGGAAUUCUAGCGUGCACACCCGCUCAUGCCACGUGCCAGGCACCCAAUUGCUUAUCUUGGCAAAUGUUAUCCCAGGAAUCGUUGUACACCACCCAGAGAAAGGGGAGUGAAAAAAUCUAAUGAACCUUGAUAGCUACAUGAUUCACAUUCAAAGCCUCACAAAUUUGAUCUUCAAACACACAAUUUUAAUCCAAUAGCACCAAUUCAAAAGCACUUUGCUUUUUCUUUUCCUUUUCCUUUUUGUUUCCCU
This 884-nucleotide unclassified non-coding RNA is filed under the name Hevea brasiliensis (rubber tree). Lineage: Eukaryota; Viridiplantae; Streptophyta; Magnoliopsida; Malpighiales; Euphorbiaceae. The record is from RNAcentral.